GCUUGGUGGCAUAUAUCUGUAGUUCCAGCAUUUGGGAGGCUGAGAUGGAGGAUCACUGGAGCCCAGGAGGUCAAGUUCAAUACUGCCUUGGGCAACAUAGUGAGAUCCCAUCUCAA
RNAcentral lists this small RNA (116 nucleotides) under Marmota monax (woodchuck). The record is from RNAcentral. Lineage: Eukaryota; Metazoa; Chordata; Mammalia; Rodentia; Sciuridae.